Molecule: ribosomal RNA, 497 nt
Filed under: uncultured bacterium
Lineage: Bacteria
Description: partial 16S ribosomal RNA
Rfam family: Bacterial small subunit ribosomal RNA
Source: RNAcentral
GAUGAACGCUGGCGGCGUGCUUAAUACAUGCAAGUCGAGCGGACAGACGAUGAGCUUGUGCCGCUCUCGUUAGCCGCGCACGGGUGAGUAACGCGUGGAUACCCCACCUAUAUUUCUGAGAACACUUCGGGAAACCGGAGCUAAUACCGGAUAAUAUCUUGAACCGCAUGGUUGAAUGGUGAAAGACGGCUGUGCUGGCACGUAUAGCUGGUUCCGGGCCGCAUUGGCUAGUUGGUAAGGUAACGGCUUACCAAGGCAACGAGGCGUAGACGAGGUGGGAGAGGGAUAGGCCACACUGGAACUGAGACACGGUCCAGAGUCCUACGGGACGCAGCAGUAGGGAACCGGCCGCAGUAGGCGGAAGCCUGACGGAACGACGCCACGCCAGAGAUGACAGCCUUCGGAGCGUGAAACUCUGUUAUUAGGGAAAAACAACUGUGUAAGUAAAUAUGCCCGUCGUGACGGUAACGAGUCAGAAAGCACCGGCUAACUACGUG